AGAGUUUGAUCAUGGCUCAGGACGAACGCUUGCGGCGUGCCUAAGAAAUGCAAGUCGAGCGGAGAAGUAGCAAUACUUCUUAGCGGCGAACGGUCGCGUAACACGUAAGCAACCUGCCGAAAAGACCGGGACAACAUCUCGAAAGGGGUGCUAAUACCGGAUGUGGCCAUCUUCUCGCAUGGGAGGGUGAUUAAACCGCGCUAGCAAUAGUGGCGGCUUUUCGAGGGGCUCGCGGCCUAUCAGCUAGUUGGCGGGGUAACGGCCCACCAAGGCUAUGACGGGUAGCUGGUCUGAGAGGACGACCAGCCACACGGGGACUGAGACACGGCCCCGACUCCUACGGGAGGCAGCAGUGGGGAAUUUUCCGCAAUGGGCGAAAGCCUGACGGAGUGACGCCGCGUGUGGGACGAAGGCCUUCGGGUCGUAAACCACUGUCAGUGGGAAAGAUGGGUGUCGGGGCUAAUACCUCCGGCAUCUGACGGUACCUGCAGAGGAAGCCCCGGCCAACUCUGUGCCAGCCGCCGCGGUAAUUC
Molecule: ribosomal RNA, 533 nt
Filed under: uncultured bacterium
Lineage: Bacteria
Description: bacterial SSU rRNA
Rfam family: Bacterial small subunit ribosomal RNA
Source: RNAcentral